RNAcentral lists this ribosomal RNA (465 nucleotides) under uncultured bacterium. RNAcentral describes it as "partial 16S ribosomal RNA". It matches the Rfam family "Bacterial small subunit ribosomal RNA", at positions 339 to 795 of the family's 1533-position model. The record is from RNAcentral.
CUACGGGCUGCUGCAGUGGGGAAUAUUGCACAAUGGGCGCAAGCCUGAUGCAGCCAUGCCGCGUGUAUGAAGAAGGCCUUCGGGUUGUAAAGUACUUUCAGCGGGGAGGAAGGGAGUAAAGUUAAUACCUUUGCUCAUUGACAUUACCCGCAGAAGAAGCACCGGCUAACUCCGUGCCAGCAGCCGUCGGUAAUACGGAGGGUGCAAGCGUUAAUCGGAAUUACUGGGCGUAAAGCGCACGCAGGCGGUUUGUUAAGUCAGAUGUGAAAUCCCCGGGCUCAACCUGGGAACUGCAUCUGAUGCUGGCAAGCUUGAGUCUCGUAGAGGGGGGUAGAAUUCCAGGUGUAGCGGUGAAAUGCGUAGAGAUCUGGAGGAAUACCGGUGGCGAAGGCGGCCCCCUGGACGAAGACUGACGCUCAGGUGCGAAAGCGUGGGGAGCAAACAGGAUUAGAUACCCCCGUAGUC